RNAcentral lists this long non-coding RNA (722 nucleotides) under Triticum aestivum (bread wheat). Its description in RNAcentral is "long non-coding RNA (TAES_LNC007485)". The record is from RNAcentral. Lineage: Eukaryota; Viridiplantae; Streptophyta; Magnoliopsida; Poales; Poaceae.
UGGACAUACUGUUUCAGGCUUAUGACUAAGAAUUAGAAACACAGACUCAAAUUAAUUAGAUGCUCUAAUUAGAAGGUAUGCACUUGGAGGCAUUACCCGCCUUCUUACUUGGAGGCCUUCCUUGCCUUUUUCCCGUGGCAAACCAUGGCGCUUGAAAAAUAACAUUAAACAUGCACGGGUCUCAACUUGUAAGUGAUGUGCCGAAACUGCCACUACCUACAACCGUGCCCUCAGGCUUCCCUCGGACCGUCCUUAUCAAUUGUAGUCUCUGCUCUCCCACGUUAAGUCCCACCUUUUAGAAACAGCUUUUCUCGAUGGUGGCCUCCCCUGGAAGCUCUUGAACCUAUGGUGUGAAGUCGGUUCCCCGUCAGAAGGAAAUGCUUGCGUUAGGUCGUCAGACUGUUAAUUAUAACCAUGUUAUUCUGUCGAGCCUUUCCAUCGAGUUGUCAAAACAAUAUCAAAGUAGAAGAUGUUAAAUAUGAAACCACCAAGUUAUGCACUCUGCUAUUGUGGUUGUGAAGCUCGUACAGUCUGCUUGAUGUUCGCACUAAAUUUCCUUCAGGCAACAAGACGAUGAGUUCAGUGCAAGUCUUCAGGCUGUAGGGCUAAUCAUAGGCAAAGAAGUCUGGACUUCCGUGGGUUUGCAUGAACGAUUUUGAAAUGAAGAAUAGUUGUUAAGUUAUUAUUUUUGCUAGAAGAGUAGCGUCGCAAAAGAGUAUUGC